AUGAAGGCCACCCGUGAUGCCCAGAACAAGAACGACCACCUACAGUUCCCAGUGGUCGCCUUAGCCACCCUCGGCCACGAGCUCGUCCACCAUGGUUACUUGCAGCUGUCCAAGUGGAGCGCGGACAUCAGUCCAAGUAGAAUCGCGGCUACCAUCUUCACCAAGCACUGCACAACCGUCCAAGUCGAGCACACACAACAGUCCAAGGAAAAACUUUUGUCAGGUUUUUGGUGGCCAGGUAUUAUUGAUAUAGAGAUGAAUGACUAUGCGCUUCGGUUGUUCUUCUGGAAAAGACAAGUUGCCAUGCUUUACUUUAUGAGCUUUCUAAUUUGCAUACUUCUAAGUUAUUGCUUACUGCCACUAGUGAAUUGCGCAAGUUCAAUGGGUGUCAUCGAGCAUGUUCAGAAGUAUGCCCUUCGUGCGGAAGUGUGA
This 432-nucleotide ribosomal RNA is filed under the name Triticum aestivum (bread wheat). RNAcentral's name for it is "partial small subunit ribosomal RNA". Lineage: Eukaryota; Viridiplantae; Streptophyta; Magnoliopsida; Poales; Poaceae. The record is from RNAcentral.